RNAcentral lists this ribosomal RNA (468 nucleotides) under uncultured bacterium. RNAcentral's name for it is "partial 16S ribosomal RNA". It matches the Rfam family "Bacterial small subunit ribosomal RNA", at positions 28 to 507 of the family's 1533-position model. The record is from RNAcentral.
GACGAACGCUGGCGGCGUGCCUAACACAUGCAAGUCGAACGGAAAGGCCCUGCUCUUGCUGGGUGCUCGAGUGGCGAACGGGUGAGUAACACGCGAGUAUCCUCCCCUUGUCUUUGGGGUAUCUUUAGGAAACUGGGGCUAAUACCGGAUAGGAGCUCUUGCUCCAUGGGGUGGGUUGGAAAGUUUCGGCGGUUGGGGAUGGACUCGCGGCUUACCAGCUUGUUGGGGGGGUAGGGGUUUUCCAAGGCUUUGACGGGUAGCCGGCCUGGGAGGGUUACCGGCGACAAUGGGACUGAGAUACGGCGCAGACUCCUACGGGAGGCAGCAGGGGAGAAUAUUGCACAAUGGGGCGAAGCCUGAUGCAGCAACGCCGCGUGCGGGAUGCCGGGCUUCGGGUUGUAAACCGCUUUCGCAUGUGACGAAGCGUGAGUGACGGUAAUGGGUAAAGAAGCCCCGGCUAACUACGUG